This 82-nucleotide transfer RNA is filed under the name candidate division TM6 bacterium GW2011_GWF2_28_16. RNAcentral's name for it is "tRNA-Tyr". It matches the Rfam family "tRNA". Rfam says of the family: Transfer RNA (tRNA) molecules are approximately 80 nucleotides in length. Their secondary structure includes four short double-helical elements and three loops (D, anti-codon, and T loops). The record is from RNAcentral. RNAcentral also lists the same sequence under 1 other name.
GCCAAGGUACUCAAGUGGUCAACGAGGGCAGUCUGUAAAACUGCUGGCCUAGCCUCCGUAGGUUCGAAUCCUUCCCUUGGCA